AACGAACGCUGGCGGCGUGCCUAACACAUGCAAGUCGAACGAGAAAGGGGCUUCGGCUCCGAGUAAAGUGGCGCACGGGUGAGUAACACGUGGGUAACCUGCCUCUAAGAUUGGGAUAACUCGUCGAAAGAUGAGCUAAUACCGAAUAAGACCACAGUUCCCGCGGGAACAGGGGUCAAAGGUAGCCUCUGCUUGCAAGCUAUCACUUAGAGAUGGGCCUGCGCACCAUUAGCUAGUUGGUAGGGUAACGGCCUACCAAGGCAAAGAUGGUUAGCUGGUCUGAGAGGAUGAUCAGCCACACUGGAACUGAGACACGGUCCAGACUCCUACGGGAGGCAGCAGUGGGGAAUAGUGCGCAAUGGGCGAAAGCUUGACGCAGCAACGCCGCGUGAGUGAUGAAGGCCUUCGGGUCGUAAAGCUCUGUCGGGAGGAACGAAUGCUCCUGAGGUUAACAGCCUCGGGAGGUGACGGUACCUUCAAAGGAAGCACCGGCUAACUCUGUG
Molecule: ribosomal RNA, 503 nt
Filed under: uncultured bacterium
Lineage: Bacteria
Description: partial 16S ribosomal RNA
Rfam family: Bacterial small subunit ribosomal RNA
Source: RNAcentral